Long non-coding RNA from Myotis brandtii (Brandt's bat), 3432 nucleotides. RefSeq lists it as uncharacterized. The record is from RefSeq and is a predicted model, not a curated record. NCBI's taxonomy places the organism in Eukaryota, Metazoa, Chordata, Mammalia, Chiroptera, Vespertilionidae. The transcript has 2 exons.
UUCUUGCACACUGCCUACUGGGGAUUGAGCCUGCAACCCAGGCAUGUGCCCUGACCUCCUGGUUUAUUGGUCGACGUUUAACCAGACACAAAGGCCAGGCUGGGCAAUAUUUUUUAAAAUUUGAAUACACAACUCCACUCCUACAAAUGUAAUCUAAAGAACAGAUUUUAUCAAUAACAAAUUGAAUAAGACUUAUCACAGCAUUGAUUAAACCAGAAGGGCCUGUUAGUAGGAACUUGGCUAAAUCAUCUAUACAAAUCCAUUACCCCUAUUUCAUUAUGCUCUGAAUAAGAAAAAUGCUAACUAAACUAAAAUGCCUCAAUUUCUAUGGUGCACGAGCCCCUAACCCUCUGAAAUUGGAAUGGAUCUUAGAAUUGAAAAGCAUACUAUGCAAUCUUUCAAAAAGUUUAACAAUAUUUGACAUAGAAAUGGUCAGCUGCAAAAAAAUGAACAGAAGGAUCACAUCAUCUUUAUAAAUCAAUGCAAAAGUUUUUGAAAUAUACACAAAAAUGGUAAUAAUGGUUUCUAGCCAUAGGUUUUUAAAUUACACUUCUGCAUUCUUUUCAUUAAAUACUUACUCUGGUAAUUGGAUAGUCAACUAAAUAUAACCAAUCUUCCCCCCCAAAGACCUGACACAAGGGGUCGAGACACUACCAACCACUUUCUUUAUGAUCCAUCUCUCUUUCAUCCUCCACCUGACACCUUCACUGACCUUUAACUCGCCUGUCAGUUGGUAGAAAAUUCAUUAUGACACCCUAGGUGAGAGUGGGGAUUGGGGAUGUUAAGGUAAUAACUGAAGCAAUGCAUCUUUGAAAUACAAAGUUUAUAUAACAAGCCAAAUAUUGCCAAAUUCCCACUCAACAUAUAACACAGUAUAUUCGUUCCUUGGUAUCCUCCGUGGUUUGGUUCAGGACCACCCCUGCUCAGAUACCAACAUUGUUGAAUGCUCAAGUCCCUUGUACAAUGUCAGCAACAAUGUAUUUUUUUUUUGAAUACUUUUAAUCCUCAGUUGAAUCUGUGGAUCUGGAACCAUGGAUAGAGGGGAUCAUAUUCAGUACAUGCUGUUUUUAAGGUAUGUAACUCAGUUCUCACCAUGGCUGGUUUAAGGUAGACCACUAUACAGAAAAAGAAACUGAAAUACAAUUAGCGAAAGUCACACUAGUACCUAAUACAGGACAGUCUAGUUUCAGGGCAUAACUUUCAGCUAUACAGUUCUUCCUAUGCAAAUGACUGCUCUACAAACUUACAUCAAUUGGGGUUAAAACUGAUGCCAUCUUUGGAGCUGUUUUACUAAAUAACCAAAACCUGGCAUUUCCAUACUUCUAAAGUCCUAGAUCACUCUUGGUUCCUAAGAAAUCUACCUUAAAAACAAAACCACACAGGUAAAUUUUUAAGUUGACAAAUCUGGUACUACUGAAUUUGUUAAUUUAUCUACCCAGCUAAUCUAAAUCCUACAAGGCACAGGUAGGCAAAGAAAGGAGAGAACACUCCCAAGAAAAUCCAUUUAUAUUAAGAAAAUUAUAAAUGGAAAUUUCAAGCUAUAAAUAUCAUUAAGCCUUUUAAAUAGAAAUGUAACUAGAGAAAUUGUGCUCUUUAGUUAUAAUAGCUAUAACCCCACUGAUUUGCCUACUGCUUUUUUCCCAACACGAAGGCUAUUAUUUCCUAAGCAAAAAGGAAUUAGGACUACAUAACUCAAUUUUUGUUGCUGGUAUUAAAACAUAAAUGCCUGUCCUUUACGCUAUGGUAACUGGCUGCACAUGUUGUUAGUGGUCAUUUACUUACAAGUGGUUAAGUAGGUUCUGCUGAAAUUUCAGUAACAUCUCUAAGAAAUAUACAAACGCAUUAUGUGCUACAAUGGGGUCCCUUUAAGUCAAUUGGGGCCACUUUUCAAAUUCCACAACUUCAAGGUAUUCCAUAAAACCCUGGCCUUGUCUAGGCAAGAGACUGUAGGCAGAUUCAAAAUAGCUUUUCCUUCCUUGCCAAUUUCAGACAUUUUACUACCUAUAGGUAAUAGGAGCCAAGGAAAUACUGUAAAAGCUGUUAUAAGAUUCUCAGAGAAUAAGCUAUACUGAAAGGCCCUAAAUUACCACUGGACAGGCAGGCCCACCCACAAACAAGAAAUUUCCACUAUAUUCAAAAGCUGCAAAAACAUUAAAAAAAAUUUGUUCCUUUACUAAAGAAAAAUCACAAUUCACUUGCUAAAAUGGCUUAUACAUCUCCCUGCAGAGUAGGUGAGAAUGUGGCCUGUGUUAACCUGAGGAUAGUUUCUUGUGCUGUACCAAGUCCAAAAGGCCCCCAUACCCAGCCUUCACCAGUCAAAAAAUCCCUCAAGGUGAAAACAGGACACUGCAGAAUUUCAUUUAAAACAAAAAUCUCACUUUAUUCCAUCACAAAGGGAGUAAAAGACCAUUUGCCUUCUUUUCUUAGCACUGUAGAAAAUAAAAUCUUCUUUCCUGCGGUUCUUCUUCUCAUACUUGUGCUACAGCACCACAAGAUUCCUUUGCAUUCCUAUAUACACUUCCUUUAGUUUACCCUCUCCUAUGACAGGGUAGCUUUCAUUGCAAUUGAGUUGUUUUUUUAAAACACCCACUUUAAAGUGUAAUAACUUAGUAGCAAAAGUGAUGAUCUUGGAAAAAAAGGGGGGUGCACAUUAAUGCUCUCCUAUAAUCUGGAGGUGCUAGUUAUGUUCCUCAACAGUACAGUAUUUUCACUUAGCAUUCAUUACACAGCAUGCUUCAGUCAGCAUGACUUCCAAUUCUACCUUUUGGCAAAAGGCAGGGAGGUCAGUCCAAUUGUUAAAAACUGAUAUACUGGAUUUUGUUGAGAAACAGUGACAAAGUGCCACUCAAUCUUCAAAGAAUACUGUAAUGAACAAAAUAUAGUGGUCUGUAGUAUACACUAUACCUGCUAGGUAUGUGAUUUUUCUAUGCUAGUGACCAAUGAACAUGUCUUAAAAGUAGCUUUAGCCAAUCCAGUCUUCCCAAGCACUCCUCAGAAACUCCUAACUAUAGCACCUAAGUGAAGCCUUGUAUAUGUAAGGUUUGUAUACACAAGACCAAGUCAAAACCAAAUUAUUUGUAGUUUGUAGGAAAGGUUCUUCCUUUUUUACUGAGGAAAAAAACAGUGGAAGCUUCAUUGGAAAUUCAGAAUUUCCAGGGAGAAGACAAACCAACUAUCUUUGAAAAGCUAUCUGCCGGUGUUUAGUUCAAUUCAUUAAUUAUUAAAUCCUAAACAUUUUCAGGCAUAAAAUUGGAAGGGGUAGAGGGGAAUCUACCAACUUCUCUGAUGUGUUCAUCAAUUUCCAAAACAGCCCCUGGCAGUCUAAGCACAAAAUGUCCAAAUGUGCUGGCCUAUUAUUGUCAGAGUGUGGUUGCCAAACAAAGCAACAUUUCACCAUGGAUUAUUACACCCAAGGCGUGAAACAAGCAAUUC